GAGGCUAAGCUAGUGGGGGAAAAGUUUCAGUGCAUUCCCUUGAUGUAGAUGGCGUGAAAACGGAAACAAGUAUGCCGGCUCACUGUGCUGCAUACAGUUACACAGUGCGUCGUACGAUUGAGACAAGGAAACUUGGAAUGACUUUUCAUAGGUUUCCCAGAGACGAUGGGUUGAGGAGGAAUUGGAAGUUUGUCGGCUUAGACCUGGUGUCAUUCCAUCAGUGUUAAACUUCCCGGCUCAUCUUGGAAGAGUACGUGCCAGAAAGACCACGACCAAGCAGCCUUGAGAUCUUAGGCAGCGUCUCCCUGAGGUCCCUCUCUAUCUCCCCACACAUCCACCAACCACUGGAACACAUCUCCAAAGUUCUGCUGGACCAGCUGAGCUUCCCCUCAGAAGAAGUGCUGCCACCUGCCAGAUGAAGGAGCCUUUUGAGAGGCAGUUGGCAUCGUGAUUGGACUGUACUUUGAUCUGUUCCAAUCCAGCUUCAGCUCCAGAGACGGCAGGCGGGACGAGUCAACGGAGGCCGGGUGGAUGAAGGCAUGCAGCUGAGUACAAUCCAGAAAACAACAGAGGAGGAGUGCAGCGGCCCAGAGCCAGAACAACCAGAGUAGCAUCAUAUGUCUCUUAGAAAACAUCAUAGUAUAGCUUUUGCUAUAAAAAAACGCCAUCAUAUACAUCGUAUAUUGUACAAAUAAGUCUAAGGAAAGAGACAUACACUGUAGAAUUGUAGUAAUUGUGGGCUGACUGAAUUACUGAUUAUCAGUAUUUUAUUUUUUACUGAUUUACGGUAAUAAAUACAUUUUAAAGUGG
Amphiprion ocellaris (clown anemonefish) is the source of this 810-nucleotide long non-coding RNA. RefSeq lists it as uncharacterized. NCBI's taxonomy places the organism in Eukaryota, Metazoa, Chordata, Actinopteri, Pomacentridae. The transcript has 3 exons. The record is from RefSeq and is a predicted model, not a curated record.